GGUUAGGGAAGUCAUUGGAAUGAACAUGUCUGUCUUCCAAUCCCUGUUAGCUUUCUUGGCCGUGCCUGCUUCAAAGUCAAAGGCAACCAAAUGGUUAUUGGUAGCAAAAUUAAUGCACAAGGGAGUGAUAACAUGUGAAGAGAACACAAAAAGUUCCAACGAGUUGAUGUGUGUGGAAGCAUCUUUAAGCAGCCUUGUAAAUGAAGGUACUAAUGUUGCAACGAUGCAGACUGCACAUGAAAGGUUGGAGGCUUUGGAGAAUGGAAUUGAAAUCAUAGAAAAUGGUUUGGAGAGCGUAUUCAGGCGCAUGGUUAGAACAAGAGCCUGUCUUUUGAACAUCAUGACUCAAUAGAGUUUAGACAGUGAUUUUCUCUCCAAAUCCUCCAAAGUAUCCAAGUUUUAGGGAUCAGUUGAGGGUUGAAAAGUUUUGCCCCAUCAAUUUGUACAUGUAUACAAUUCAAAAGUCUUAACGAUGAAAUACAACUGAAUGUUUAUACUCUAUGUUUCGAUAUAUUUUUUCUUCAGGUCACCUUUUUCCUUGAGAGAAUAUUGCUUUACACUUAUCAUAUUUCUGUGACUAAGCAUAUAAUUUACUUGUUAGAGAAUGUUGGGUAAGUCAACGUCCUUAUCAGUUAAAAGUUCAUACUUAUAGUUAUCUUUUAAAAGCUACAAAACAGCCAAACUCACACCAUAUUGACAAGUAAUUACAUAUUUAUCAGAAUAAUGAAAAUGUAUUGCUUGGAUUCAACUGCGUAAAAAUAUGCUUAUUUCUAUUCAGCUGCUGUAUCAGUGGCUGCAGAUCUCAGCCGGCUGGACCAUGAUAUUUUAACAACCUUUUUUAAUAAAUUUUUAAUAACAGAUUAUGUAUUACUAUUUUAUUGGUUCAUAUAUUUAAAAUGAACCAAUCACAAGCUGUGAUGAGAUUGAAAAUUAUUUUCUUUCAGAGAGGAGAUCUUUUAUUCAAACAAAGAUGUCAAAAUUUUCUGCAAUAGAGUCACAUACUAAACAACAAUGAUGUGUGCAUACAAAACCUUUAACAAUAUAUAACAUCAAGCCAUUGAAACUGGGACGGUGGAUACUCGUCCUUUAACGUGUACUACAAUACAAAAUUCUUCAUUGGUUUAAAACAUGAUGAAAAGGAGUUGGUAAAAUAAAAAAGGGGGAGACAUAAGAGUUACAAGCCACUCGUGUACACGCCAAAUAACUCAUCCUUUUGUUCUCGAAAUCUGUACUCAAAAUUAAAAAAUAACUCAUUGUUGUCUAUUUGUCAAUGACAACCAGAUUUUGAUCUCAAAGAUCCAAAAGCCAUUUUUAACAAUAUUUUGCAGUUAUAGCUUCUUAUCAUUGAGACAAGCCAGGUAAUGUAUAUCCUUGAAGCUGAAACAACACAUUUUAUAAUUUGAAGCGAAGAGGCAAUGUGGCAGCAAAGGAGGCAAAUUAAUUGAUGACUAACGAAGUUUUCUGAUUGCCAACACUUGGAGAACAUGCCAGUUAUGCACAACCAAUGUGGCGUGUAUUAUAUCACAAAUAAUAGUGCACAAUGUUUGGCAGAGAUGUGACAAACUCAUCAAAUUCUCAGGAAACACAUGCUGCUACCACAUGUUCACAUUGAUCAUGAGAGGUUAACUGUGCUGCCUGUUUUCUUGACCAAUAGGAAUCAAUCAUGAAUAGCUCCUAUAUAUAUAUAGAGUUAAGCACUUGGUGACAGCACCAAAACAUUGAGCUUCUCUUGAAAAAGAACAUAAACAAAAAGAGUAGCCAUGGCAAACAAGUUCCAUGUUCGCUCUAACAGUUUUCCUUCUGGAUCUCAUCCUAACAUAACUAGAGUAGAGGAAGAGCUGAACAAGCUGAAAACUUGGGAAGCCACUAAAACAUCCACAUCAAACUCAAUUGGCACUGGCUUGUCUUCGUUAUCAGAUUUGCUUAUUUGCUUGGAAGAUAUUCUCAACAUGGCAUCAACCCAACAGCUGAUUUCUAAUCAUCAAGGUGAGAAAUGCAUGGAAGAGAUAAUGGAUGGUUCAGUGAGAAUUUUGGAUAUCUGUGUCAUCACAAGAGACACCAUGUUACAGAUGAAGGAAAAUGUUCAAGCCCUUCAUUCUGCUCUUAGAAGGAGAAAGGGGGAUUCAAGCAUUGAAAAAAUUGUAGCCGAAUAUAGUUUCUUCUCUAAGAAGAUGAAGAAGAAUGCCAAGAAGUUGAUGACUUCUUUGAAGCAGAUGGAGAGCAAAUUUGGAGUAUCACCAGUCUUGGAUCACGAUCAACAACUUGUUUCUUUGGUUAGAGUGGUCAGGGAAGUCAUUGUAAUGAACAUGUCUGUCUUCCAAUCCCUGUUAGCUUUCUUGACCGUGCCUGCUUCAAAGUCAAAGGCAACCAAAUGGGUAUUGGUAGCAAAAUUAAUGCAAAAGGGAGUGAAAGCAUGUGAAGAGAAGCAGAAGAAUUUGAACGAGUUGCAGUGUGUGGAAGCAUCUUUAAGCAGCCUUAUGAGUGAAGGAACCAAUUUUGCAAAGAUGGAAGCUGCAAAUGAAAGAUUGAAAGCUUUGGAGAAUGGAAUUGAAAGCAUAGAAAAUGGUUUGGAGAGCGUAUUUAGGCGCAUGGUUAGAACAAGAGCCUGCCUUUUGAACAUCAUG
Molecule: long non-coding RNA, 2624 nt
Filed under: Vigna radiata
Lineage: Eukaryota; Viridiplantae; Streptophyta; Magnoliopsida; Fabales; Fabaceae
Description: long non-coding RNA (VRAD_LNC011627)
Source: RNAcentral